GCCGCCAUGCCCUUCCUAAAUCCUAAGUCAGGGAAAACAUGUGAGAACUUCAAAUUUAAAGUAGCAUAAACCAACAACAAUUCAAAUAUCAAAAACCAAACACAGGGGACGCAUAAAACCUAGCAACUUAGAAAAAGCACAAAGCAUCAUAAAACACAGCUGAAUUAAGAAUAUACAUGGCAAGUAGCAAAACUAGUGCAGAACAGAGAAUUUUGAAGCUCAUAAAACAUCACAAGGAGCAAGAAGAUUCCUUAGUAGCACUCUCAACAAAGGUCCCCACGGCUAGAAAAUAGCAAAAUAUUUCCAAAAAAGGAUAAUAUUUUCUAGGCAUAGGUUUAAACAGACAGUCGAGCGAGAUCCCAAAACUCAAGCUUUAUCCACGGUACACACUCUAAUUGUUCAUUAUCCUUGAAAUUGCUCGGACAAAGAGCAACAUUUACCUAAUCUCAAAACAAAAUAGUUACCAUUGCCUUCAUAUAAGUCUCGCAAAGCCAAAAGCCAACAAUAUUCUCUAGUAAUAUCUAAAGACACAACAACGAAUACCAGGGAGUUUCACCCAGAAAAGAACUCCAUUCCAUCAGAGAACAGCACAAAGUAAAAUACCCAAGAAGGAUUUAGGGGGAAAAACCAGCAAAACAUCAUAGAAAGGAAAAAGGUUAAUUCUAGUUCAAAGCUUCAUCCUUUCUCUAGAGGGAGACAGAAGGGGUGGGGGAACACAAGAACAACAACAAAGGGUAGCUUGAUCAGAGAUUUGAAAGCUCAAUUUGACGAUCCAAACUAACAAAGCACAAAAAAAUACAAUUUACAAACACGGAUAAACCCUAAUUGUAGUUGAAAACACGCCAAGUCAAGAGCAAAAAACACGCAUUAUUCCCAAAUCAAACUCCUAAAUCUAAAACAGAAAGACAAUAAUCGACAAAAACGGUACGGUUACAUGCAUCAAACGACAAAAAAAAUAAAAUGGAAACUGAAGAGAAAGCAGAUAUUUUAGAAGGGUAAAACUUAAAAAUUAAUAAA
RNAcentral lists this unclassified non-coding RNA (1017 nucleotides) under Hevea brasiliensis (rubber tree). Lineage: Eukaryota; Viridiplantae; Streptophyta; Magnoliopsida; Malpighiales; Euphorbiaceae. The record is from RNAcentral.